This 762-nucleotide ribosomal RNA is filed under the name uncultured prokaryote. RNAcentral's name for it is "bacterial SSU rRNA". It matches the Rfam family "Bacterial small subunit ribosomal RNA", at positions 706 to 1482 of the family's 1533-position model. The record is from RNAcentral.
ANUCCGAUUGCGAAGGCAGCUUGCUGGACUGUAACUGACGCUGAGGCACGAAAGCGUGGGGAUCAAACAGGAUUAGAUACCCUGGUANNCCACGCCGUAAACGAUGAAUGCUAGCUGUUAGCGAUAUACUGUUAGCGGCACAGAGAAAUCGUUAAGCAUUCCACCUGGGGAGUACGCCGGCAACGGUGAAACUCAAAGGAAUUGANNNNNGCCCGCACAAGCGGAGGAACAUGUGGUUUAAUUCGAUGAUACGCGAGGAACCUUACCUGGGCUUAAAUUGCAGUGGAAUAACGUGGAAACAUGUUAGCCUUCGGGCCGCUGUGAAGGUGCUGCAUGGUUGUCGUCAGCUCGUGCCGUGAGGUGUCGGCUUAAGUGCCAUAACGAGCGCAACCCUCAUCGAUAGUUACUAACAGGUUAAGCUGAGGACUCUAUCGAGACUGCCGACGUAAGUCGUGAGGAAGGUGGGGAUGACGUCAAAUCAGCACGGCCCUUACGUCCAGGGCUACACACGUGUUACAAUGGGGGGUACAAAGGGCAGCUACCUGGCGACAGGAUGCUAAUCUCUAAAACCUCUCUCAGUUCGGAUUGGAGUCUGCAACCCGACUCCAUGAAGCUGGAUUCGCUAGUAAUCGCGCAUCAGCCACGGCGCGGUGAAUACGUUCCCGGGCCUUGUACACACCGCCCGUCAAGCCAUGGGAGCCGGGGGGACCUGAAGUAUGCAACCGUAAGGAGCGUCCUAGGGUAAAACUGGUGACUGGGGCU